UACAGAGGGUGCGAGCGUUAAUCGGAAUUACUGGGCGUAAAGCGUGCGUAGACGGUUAUUUAAGUCGGAUGUGAAAGCCCCGGGCUCAACCUGGGAAUUACAUUCGAGACUGAAUAGCUAGGGUGCGGUAGAGGGAAGCGGAAUUUCCGGUGUAGCGGUGAAAUGCGUAGAUAUCGGAAGGAACAUCAGUGGCGAAAGCGGCUUCCUGGACCAGCACCGACGUUCAGGCACGAAAGCGUGGGGAGCAAACAGG
Molecule: ribosomal RNA, 253 nt
Filed under: uncultured bacterium
Lineage: Bacteria
Description: partial 16S ribosomal RNA
Rfam family: Bacterial small subunit ribosomal RNA
Source: RNAcentral